RNAcentral lists this long non-coding RNA (243 nucleotides) under Setaria italica (foxtail millet). RNAcentral's name for it is "long non-coding RNA (SITA_LNC007060)". The record is from RNAcentral. Lineage: Eukaryota; Viridiplantae; Streptophyta; Magnoliopsida; Poales; Poaceae.
GGCGCCGGAGCGGGGCUCCCACAGCACGAGCCGCGUGGGGGACCGCUCGUCGUCGGCCAGGGCUAGCCAACCGCGCGGCGUGCCGCAGCAGUACGGGAGGCCCGGCGGGGUGGCGAGUUGGACGCGCUUCAGGCCGGCGGGAAGCCAGUGGGAGCAGUCGCCGAGCGGGCCAACCCUUAUCGGCUUCGCGCGGGUGGCCACGACCCAUGGGCGAAAGGGCGCGACGGGGACAGGCGCGCGCCA